This 725-nucleotide ribosomal RNA is filed under the name Staphylococcus aureus. RNAcentral's name for it is "partial 23S ribosomal RNA". It matches the Rfam family "Bacterial large subunit ribosomal RNA", at positions 1120 to 1846 of the family's 2925-position model. The record is from RNAcentral. Lineage: Bacteria; Bacillati; Bacillota; Bacilli; Caryophanales; Staphylococcaceae.
CAUUUAAAGAGUGCGUAAUAGCUCACUAGUCGAGUGACACUGCGCCGAAAAUGUACCGGGGCUAAACAUAUUACCGAAGCUGUGGAUUGUCCUUUGGACAAUGGUAGGAGAGCGUUCUAAGGGCGUUGAAGCAUGAUCGUAAGGACAUGUGGAGCGCUUAGAAGUGAGAAUGCCGGUGUGAGUAGCGAAAGACGGGUGAGAAUCCCGUCCACCGAUUGACUAAGGUUUCCAGAGGAAGGCUCGUCCGCUCUGGGUUAGUCGGGUCCUAAGCUGAGGCCGACAGGCGUAGGCGAUGGAUAACAGGUUGAUAUUCCUGUACCACCUAUAAUCGUUUUAAUCGAUGGGGGGACGCAGUAGGAUAGGCGAAGCGUGCGAUUGGAUUGCACGUCUAAGCAGUAAGGCUGAGUAUUAGGCAAAUCCGGUACUCGUUAAGGCUGAGCUGUGAUGGGGAGAAGACAUUGUGUCUUCGAGUCGUUGAUUUCACACUGCCGAGAAAAGCCUCUAGAUAGAAAAUAGGUGCCCGUACCGCAAACCGACACAGGUAGUCAAGAUGAGAAUUCUAAGGUGAGCGAGCGAACUCUCGUUAAGGAACUCGGCAAAAUGACCCCGUAACUUCGGGAGAAGGGGUGCUCUUUAGGGUUAACGCCCAGAAGAGCCGCAGUGAAUAGGCCCAAGCGACUGUUUAUCAAAAACACAGGUCUCUGCUAAACCGUAAGGUGAUGUAU